RNAcentral lists this ribosomal RNA (439 nucleotides) under uncultured bacterium. RNAcentral describes it as "bacterial SSU rRNA". It matches the Rfam family "Bacterial small subunit ribosomal RNA", at positions 338 to 795 of the family's 1533-position model. The record is from RNAcentral.
CCUACGGGAGGCUGCAGUGGGGGAUAUUGCACAAUGGAGGAAACUCUGAUGCAGCGACGCCGCGGGAGGGAAGAAGGUUUUCGGAUUGUAAACCUCUGUCUUCGGUGACGAAAAUGACGGUAGCCGAGGAGGAAGCCACGGCUAACUACGUGCCAGCAGCCGCGGUAAUACGUAGGUGGCAAGCGUUGUCCGGAAUUACUGGGUGUAAAGGGAGCGUAGGCGGGAGUGCAAGUCGGCUGUCUAAACUAUGGGCUCAACCCAUAAUCGCGGCCGAAACUGUACUUCUUGAGUGAAGUAGAGGUAAGCGGAAUUCCUAGUGUAGCGGUGAAAUGCGUAAAUAUUAGGAGGAACACCAGUGGCGAAGGCGGCUUACUGGGCUUUAACUGACGCUGAGGUUCGAAAGCAUGGGUAGCGAACAGGAUUAGAUACCCUGGUAGUC